UUAGUUUGAGGUGUAAGUGCAAUUGGUGUCCAAUGGUAGUUGUUAACGUGUUGUUCGUGCUAGUAGUGCGCGGCACAGCAUACAGGCACACUGACCUGGUAGUUGAAGCACAUGGGGUACUUGCUGUUCUGGUCCUUGUUACUGCACUCAAGGCCAACAUCCAGGGCUGCACUUGACAUUCUGGCCCAAGCUCUCCAGGCUCCUCUCAGGGUAAUUUGCAGCACGGCACCUGAUGUCCUGUGGCUGGGCGCACAGGUCAAAACCAGCGGCACGGAUGUUUGCAAAGGUCUCAAAGUCUCCAUCCUGGCUCCCAGAGCUUGGGAAAUCCACAUCAAACCAUUGUGUCCAGGCACAGCGUGGCUGGCAGCCUGAUGUGGGGGAGGGACUGGUGAAAGUAGUGGUGGGCGAGCUGGGCACAGUUGUGGUUGUUGUUGGUUGUAUUGAUUGUGUGUACUCUCAUGGUACUAGGAAGGGAGGGCGUCUC
Molecule: long non-coding RNA, 484 nt
Filed under: Coturnix japonica (Japanese quail)
Lineage: Eukaryota; Metazoa; Chordata; Aves; Galliformes; Phasianidae
Description: lncRNA (ENSCJPG00005018511.1)
Source: RNAcentral